ACUAUUUUGGCAGAUUAGUGCAUUAAAUUUAGAAUUUAUUUAUGUAAUAGAGUUAUUACAAAUAGUA
RNAcentral lists this transfer RNA (67 nucleotides) under Eysarcoris aeneus. RNAcentral describes it as "tRNA-Leu". Lineage: Eukaryota; Metazoa; Arthropoda; Insecta; Hemiptera; Pentatomidae. The record is from RNAcentral.